Molecule: long non-coding RNA, 1289 nt
Filed under: Equus asinus (donkey)
Lineage: Eukaryota; Metazoa; Chordata; Mammalia; Perissodactyla; Equidae
Description: lncRNA (ENSEASG00005026885.1)
Source: RNAcentral
GUCAGGACCCAAAUCCUCACGGGGCUAGCAUGGGCCCAGGGGGUCGAACUCCUGGCAGCCCCUCUAAGAGCGAGGCCCAGGGUCACGGUUUUCCCCGGACGCUCCUCUUAGGUUACCAUGGUUACCGUUGCCCCAGUGCACUUGCGGUGUUUAGCCAAACCCUGAUGAGAGUUUAGUCUGCAGAAAAGCAAGCAGGAUCAGAAGAAACAAGUGUCGCAACAGGAGAGAGUCUGGUUAGACCAAAGAAAGAACUUCCAGCUGUGAGGAUGUGUAUGUAGUUUCAGGAGCAGUUCCUUAAAAUGUGGGCCUCAGACCUCCAGCUCAGAAUCACCUGAGAGAGUUUAUUAAAAAUAAAAUGUAGGCCCUGCUAGAGGACCUGAAUCGAAAUCAAUGGAACUGGCUUUAGGGGAACCUGCCUUUUCAUGCUUCCCCAUUUGUAUGUUCUAGAAGGGUUUUCAGGAGUUUUAUGAUUUUCCCAAUUCGGUUUGGCCCCUAUCGCUCUGAACCUGCAGCCGGAACUGACCCCCACGGCCUGCCUGCCCUAAGCCUCACAGAACCCUCCCACGCGGCCCAGUACUUGUUUUUCCUGCAACGGGUGACUAGCUGAAUUCUUAGGCCAAAAAGAAGUGGUGACUGUGAUUCUGUGCUGCUUUCCCACUCCCAAACCUCUCUCCAAACGCUCACAGCCCGCCUUUCUGAAGCUCACUCCAACUUGGCUUUUGUGUUUCAAAGCCAAUCGCUUCAUCUUGUGACGUGUUCUGGGCCAAAGGAGGAUUGGCUGCCGAGCCCAGAAAGGAGGGAAGGUGAAGUAACCAGCCCGCUGUGGAUCGGAUGCUUCCGUUACGUUACUGCCUGCUGUCCUGGUGUAGGAAUGGCUGCCUGGAACACUCCUUCCACUAGUCCACUAUGCCAACUCACCUGAUGUCCAGACUGGAAAGUGCCAGCCAUAUUCUCCACAUCGAUAUGUGCUAUGGUGCCAAACACCAGAAGUAUUUGCAGAGCGGAGGGAAAACAAGGUUUGAAUUAAACAAAACCAGAAGCCAGACUGUGAAAAAAUUCGAACCCUUCAUUGUGUCAAAUUGUAAGUGGAGAUUCUGUUCCUAUCGAUGCCUUCAAAACUGAAGUUCUCUCUGACCAGGGAGAGACCCAGUAAUGCAGCAUAUAUAAUUAUAAACACGUUAUGCAUCUCAUCAGAGAAAAAACUGCCUUAAGAGGACCUAGACUUUGUGUCUUCUUCUGUUUUUCCAACAGUGAUACAUUCUCUUUUUGCAUUCCUCUCAUAGAAAAGA